UAUCAGUAAGGGCGACUGAACAGGGAAGAGCCCAGCGCAGAAGCUCGUGUCCCCCAACCGGGCACGAGCGGUGUUGCGUUCCGGAGGGUCCAGCACGCCGUCCCAUACCGCCUAAGUCAAGCUUGAACGCGGCCACUACCCAUGGAGGGUGACAGGCCCGUAUGGCGGCGCCCGCGAGGGUACAGAUGGGGCGGUCGGAAAGGGCCUCUCUCCGUAGAGUCGGGUUGCUUGAAAAUGCAGCCCAAAGUAGGUGGUAAACUCCAUCUAAGGCUAAAUAUGACCACGAGACCGAUAGCGAACAAGUACCGUGAGGGAAAGUUGAAAAGAACUUUGAAGAGAGAGUUCAAGAGUACGUGAAACCGUCAAGAGCCAAACGGGUGGAGGCUCGAAGGUCGAAUUGAGGGGAUUCAGCUCGUCGUCUGCUUGGCUGGUGGGAGAUGUCACGGCACGACCCUACUGCUCACUUGGGCGUCCCUCCUAACCAAGCUGGCGUCGGCGGGCGUACUUCGCCUCGUAGUAGGUCGCCGCGACCCGUUGAAAUUGGGGACGUCUAAGGCCCGAACGGAUUGGUACCCCGCCGCCUGCCUUUCUCUCUCACGAGAGGGGGUCCGGCGACUGGGGGAAACCCUCGGUGUCCUGGCUGCCCCGCGACGGUCGUUGAGAUGAGCCCUCCCCCCCUCGGUUCCAAAGACCAAAGGGGGAGGUCUCUCGCGGCGUGCAAAAGGUCGGCGCUCCACCCGUCCCGUCUUGAAACACGGGCCAAGGAGUCCAACAUGUGUGCGAGUCAUUGGGCGCACUAAACCCAAAGGCGCAAUGAAAGUGAGACGGCUUGGCGUGACGAAGGAGGGGAGGGCGGUGGUGUUGGGAGGUCAACGCAGCUGCGGUCGGUCGAUUUCGGUCUUCUGCAGUUGCUCGCCUCUUCUUCUUCUUCUUACCCUCCUCCGGAGUCGCGCCGCUGGCCAGGGCCGAUCCCCGACUGGCUGCCUCCAGCUCUUUCCGUCUUUCUCGGCGCGGUCACGCGGGGUGAGUCACUUUCCUCCGCCUCUGCUGCGUCGGGGUUAUCAAAGGCGGGGGUUGGCCGGCGAAGGUCUUUUUAUUCUGUGGAAACCUGCUGAAUGCGACAGGGGGGCGCAGGCCCGGGACUUGCCAGGGACGCCACGCGUUCCCUUAGGCGCGUCUUUUCAGGCGUGCCGAAGGGGGGCGAGUGCGCAGUCGGCAAGUACCAUGAGCAGGCAUGUUGGGACCCGAAAGAUGGUGAACUAUGCCUGGCCAGGAUGAAGCCAGAGGAAACUCUGGUGGAGGUCCGUAGCGAUUCUGACGUGCAAAUCGAUCGUCAGAGCUGGGUAUAGGGGCGAAAGACUAAUCGAACCAUCUAGUAGCUGGUUCCCUCCGAAGUUUCCCUCAGGAUAGCUGGAACUCGCCACCGCAUGAAUUUCAUCCGGUAAAGCGAAUGAUUAGAGGUCUUGGGGACGAAACGUCCUCAACCUAUUCUCAAACUUUAAAUGGGUGAGAUGCCGAGCUUGCUUAAAAGAUGAAGCUUCGGCGACGAAUCGGAUUCCCUAGUGGGCCACUUUGGGUAAGCAGGACUGGCGCUGUGGGAUGAACCAAACGUCGAGUUAAGGGGCCUAAACGAAUGCUCAUUCAGAUCCCAUCGAAAGGUGUUGGUUGCUAUAGACAGCAGGACGGUGGCCAUGGAAGUUGGAAUCCGCUAAGGAGUGUGUAACAACUCACCUGCCGAAGCAACUAGCCCUUAAAAUGGUAUGGCGCUCAAGCAUUCUCCCGAUACUCGACCGCCGGGGCACUACCGACCGCCGAGCGGACUACCUUGUCCGUUUYAGGUCUCGAAGCCCCGGCGAGUAGGAGGGUCGCGGUGGUGUGCGCUGAAGGGUUCGGCGUAAGCCGGCCUGGAGCCUCCACCGGUGCAGAUCUUGGUGGUAGUAGCAAAUAAUCGAGAGAGACUCCCUUGAAGGCCGAAGUGGAGAAGGGUUCCAUGUGAACAUCAGUUGGACAUGGGUUAGUCGCUCCUAAGCCCAAGGCGAAAGCCUGAUCCCCA
RNAcentral lists this ribosomal RNA (2053 nucleotides) under Parribacus perlatus. RNAcentral's name for it is "eukaryotic LSU rRNA". It matches the Rfam family "Eukaryotic large subunit ribosomal RNA", at positions 78 to 1573 of the family's 3401-position model. Lineage: Eukaryota; Metazoa; Arthropoda; Malacostraca; Decapoda; Scyllaridae. The record is from RNAcentral.